RNAcentral lists this ribosomal RNA (427 nucleotides) under uncultured bacterium. RNAcentral describes it as "partial 16S ribosomal RNA". It matches the Rfam family "Bacterial small subunit ribosomal RNA", at positions 355 to 774 of the family's 1533-position model. The record is from RNAcentral.
UGGGGAAUAUUGGACAAUGGGCGAAAGCCUGAUCCAGCCAUGCCGCGUGUGUGAAGAAGGUCUUCGGAUUGUAAAGCACUUUAAGUUGGGAGGAAGGGCAUUAACCUAAUACGUUAGUGUUUUGACGUUACCGACAGAAUAAGCACCGGCUAACUCUGUGCCAGCAGCCGCGGUAAUACAGAGGGUGCAAGCGUUAAUCGGAAUUACUGGGCGUAAAGCGCGCGUAGGUGGUUUGUUAAGUUGGAUGUGAAAUCCCCGGGCUCAACCUGGGAACUGCAUUCAAAACUGACUGACUAGAGUAUGGUAGAGGGUGGUGGAAUUUCCUGUGUAGCGGUGAAAUGCGUAGAUAUAGGAAGGAACACCAGUGGCGAAGGCGACCACCUGGACUAAUACUGACACUGAUUUGCGAAAGCGUGGGGAGCAAACA